This 465-nucleotide ribosomal RNA is filed under the name uncultured bacterium. RNAcentral describes it as "partial 16S ribosomal RNA". It matches the Rfam family "Bacterial small subunit ribosomal RNA", at positions 338 to 795 of the family's 1533-position model. The record is from RNAcentral.
CCUACGGGAGGCAGCAGUAGGGAAUAUUCCACAAUGGGCGAAAGCCUGAUGGAGCAACGCAGCGUGGGUGAAGAAGGUCUUCGGAUCGUAAAACCCUGUUGUUAGAGAAGAAAGUGCGUGAGAGUAACUGUUCACGUUUCGACGGUAUCUAACCAGAAAGGCACGGCUAACUACGUGCCAGCAGCCGCGGUAAUACGUAGGUGGCAAGCGUUAUCCGGAUUUAUUGGGCUUAAAGGGAACGCAGGCGGUCUUUUAAGUCUGAUGUGAAAGCCUUCGGCUUAACCGUAGUAGUGCAUUGGAAACUGGGAGACUUGAGUGCAGAUGAGGAGAGUGGAACUCCAUGUGUAGCGGUGAAAUGCUUAGAUAUAUGGAAGAACACCAGUGGCGAAAGCAGCUCUCUGGUCUGUAACUGACGCUGAGGUUCGAAAGCGUGGGUAGCAAACAGGAUUAGAUACCCCAGUAGUC